RNAcentral lists this transfer-messenger RNA (287 nucleotides) under Viridibacillus soli. Its description in RNAcentral is "Viridibacillus sp. YIM B01967 partial transfer-messenger RNA". It matches the Rfam family "transfer-messenger RNA", at positions 1 to 300 of the family's 374-position model. Rfam says of the family: Bacterial tmRNA, also known as 10Sa RNA or SsrA, is named for its dual tRNA and mRNA-like properties. Its role is to liberate the mRNA from a stalled ribosome. To accomplish this part of the tmRNA is used as a reading frame that ends in a translation stop signal. The record is from RNAcentral. Lineage: Bacteria; Bacillati; Bacillota; Bacilli; Caryophanales; Caryophanaceae.
GGGGACGUUACGGAUUCGACAGGGAUGGUCUGAGCUUGAGUUGCGCGUCGGAGGUCUCGGCUUCGUCAUCAACGGAAGUUAUAUAAUAACUGGCAAACAACAACAAAACUUAGCUUUCGCAGCGUAAGCUGUUGAAACUGCCUGUCUACUCUAUCGCCCAUGUAGAAUAGUUCAGGCUCACUUAUAGUGGGAUACGGUUACUAGUGCCACUUGAGCUAGUAACAAGAGAUUCCCAAGUUAGCGCACAGGAUGCCUGCUUGCUGGCUAUUGCUGCGUGAAUCCUAAAU